GCGGACGUGGCGAAAUCGGUAUACGCAAAGGACUUAAAAUCCUUCGGUCUUAGACCUUGCGGGUUCAAGUCCCGCCGUCCGCACCA
Molecule: transfer RNA, 86 nt
Filed under: Candidatus Tokpelaia hoelldobleri
Lineage: Bacteria; Pseudomonadati; Pseudomonadota; Alphaproteobacteria; Hyphomicrobiales
Description: Candidatus Tokpelaia hoelldoblerii tRNA-Leu
Rfam family: tRNA
About the family: Transfer RNA (tRNA) molecules are approximately 80 nucleotides in length. Their secondary structure includes four short double-helical elements and three loops (D, anti-codon, and T loops). Further hydrogen bonds mediate the characteristic L-shaped molecular structure. tRNAs have two regions of fundamental functional importance: the anti-codon, which is responsible for specific mRNA codon recognition, and the 3' end, to which the tRNAs corresponding amino acid is attached (by aminoacyl-tRNA synthetases). tRNAs cope with the degeneracy of the genetic code in two manners: having more than one tRNA (with a specific anti-codon) for a particular amino acid; and 'wobble' base-pairing, i.e. permitting non-standard base-pairing at the 3rd anti-codon position.
Source: RNAcentral